AGUGAACGCUGGCGGUAGGCCUAACACAUGCAAGUCGAACGGCAGCACAGUAAGAGCUUGCUCUUACGGGUGGCGAGUGGCGGACGGGUGAGGAAUACAUCGGAAUCUACUUUUUCGUGGGGGAUAACGUAGGGAAACUUACGCUAAUACCGCAUACGACCUACGGGUGAAAGCAGCGGAUCUUCGGACCUUGCGCGAUUGAAUGAGCCGAUGUCGGAUUAGCUAGUUGGCGGGGUAAAGGCCCACCAAGGCGACGAUCCGUAGCUGGUCUGAGAGGAUGAUCAGCCACACUGGAACUGAGACACGGUCCAGACUCCUACGGGAGGCAGCAGUGGGGAAUAUUGGACAAAGGGCGCAAGCCUGAUCCAGCCAUACCGCGUGGGUGAAGAAGGCCUUCGGGUUGUAAAGCCCUUUUGUUGGGAAAGAAAAGCAGCAGGUUAAUACCCCGCUGUUCUGACGGUACCCAAAGAAUAAGCACCGGCUAACUUCGUG
This 492-nucleotide ribosomal RNA is filed under the name uncultured bacterium. Its description in RNAcentral is "partial 16S ribosomal RNA". It matches the Rfam family "Bacterial small subunit ribosomal RNA", at positions 29 to 507 of the family's 1533-position model. The record is from RNAcentral.